AGCGUAACAGCUCACUGGUCAAGCGAUCCUGCGCGGAAAAUGUAACGGGGCUCAAGCCAGUCGCCGAAGGUAUGGGUGUGCGUAAGCACGCGGUAGCGGAGCGUUCCGUAAGCCUGUGAAGGUCAGUCGUGAGGGUGGCUGGAGGUAUCGGAAGUGAGAAUGCUGACAUGAGUAGCGACAAAGAGUGUGAGAGACACUCUCGCCGAAAGUCCAAGGGUUCCUGCGUAAAGCUAAUCUGCGCAGGGUUAGCCGGCCCCUAAGGCGAGGCCGAAAGGCGUAGUCGAUGGGAACCAGGUGAAUAUUCCUGGGCCAGUUGGAGGUGACGAAUUCCGUAAAUUGUCAGGGCUUAUUGGAUUGUCCUGGCAGUGAAGGAGUUCCUGGAAAUAACCCCAACGGAGACCGUACCCGAAACCGACACAGGUGGACAGGUAGAGUAUACCAAGGCGCUUGAGAGAACUAUGCUGAAGGAACUCGGCAAAUUGCACGCGUAACUUCGGGAUAAGCGUGACUCUAUUUUGGGCAACCAGAUGAGAGUGGCACAGGCCAGGGGGUAGCGACUGUUUAUCAAAAACACAGGGCUCUGCUAAGUCGGCUUCAAGACGACGUAUAGGGUGUGACGCCUGCCCGGUGCUGGAAGAUUAAUAGGAGGGGUGCAAGCUCUUGAUUGAAGUCCCAGUAAACGGCGGCCGUAACUAUAACGGUCCUAAGGUAGCGAAAUUCCUUGUCGGGUAAGUUCCGACCUGCACGAAUGGCGUAACGAUGGCCACACUGUCUCCUCCUGAGACUCAGCGAAGUUGAAAUGUUUGUGAAGAUGCAAUCUCCCCGCGGAAAGACGGAAAGACCCCAUGAACCUUUACUGUAGCUUUGCAUUGGACUUUGAACGGAUCUGUGUAGGAUAGGUGGGAGGCUUUGAAGUGGGGACGCUAGUUCUCAUGGAGCCAACGUUGAAAUACCACCCUGGUGCGUUUGAGGUUCUAACCUCGGUCCGUUAUCCGGAUCGGGGACAGUGUAUGGUGGGCAGUUUGACUGGG
RNAcentral lists this ribosomal RNA (1031 nucleotides) under aquatic metagenome. Its description in RNAcentral is "bacterial LSU rRNA". It matches the Rfam family "Bacterial large subunit ribosomal RNA", at positions 1131 to 2278 of the family's 2925-position model. The record is from RNAcentral.